This 464-nucleotide long non-coding RNA is filed under the name Zonotrichia albicollis (white-throated sparrow). Its description in RNAcentral is "lncRNA (ENSZALG00000009558.1)". Lineage: Eukaryota; Metazoa; Chordata; Aves; Passeriformes; Passerellidae. The record is from RNAcentral.
GGAAUCUCUGUUAUCAGAGAAUUAAACAGAGGUGCUGGCUGGAGCACAGCUUCAAGGAAAAAAGCUGGACCUGAGAGGUAAAAAGGCCUCACUGGUGGCAGGCAGAAGACUUGGAAAGCAGAAUUCCAAUCAAGGUUUCUCACCUGGGCAAUCCCCUAGCCCAAAGAAAAUCUGUUGUUUAGAGAUGAGCUGUAGAGUCAAGACUCUCUUUGUGCAGCUACUUUGAAAUACACAGGCAUCUUCUUCACUUCUGUGGGUUCUGUGAGCUCCAGCUAGACGGUACAGGCAGGACUCACUCCAGAGAUGCUGUGGCUUCUGCUGCAGGUGUUCAACAGCAGGAAGAUAAGAGGAGGUUUGAGAAGUGCUACUCACAGAUUGCACCAAACAAGCUAAGGUGGUUACUUUUAUACUGUUAUCUUUUAUAGCAUGUGCCAUUGAGAGUGUGAUACCUGAAGCUGAGGGCU